CGUGGUCUUCAUUAUCUGAUCCACAGGUAGCACUCGACAACUCCCUGACUGGUUUCUCAAGAUACCGUCUCUCUCUCUGCUUAAUCUCUUUGUUGGUGGGCUACUUAAUAGUACACAGGGCAGAUUUACAGAUCUCCCAGAAAUCUGGAGCGACAGGCCUGGGGAGCCUGGCCCCGGGAACGGCGGGCCUGGAUAAGACGGUCACAGGCCCUGAGUUCUAAGCGAUCCACAUGCAGCACAUGCUCAGUAAAGUGGGAACUUUCAUCACUGAAGUGGAAACACGGAUCCAACACCUGGGGAUGGGGACUGGGCACGAUGGUGGCUGUUUGCACGGCCAGCGCCACUGGAGAGGAACCGGCAAGGGUAACUGGUACGAACUGAUGUCAAAAGGGUGAGGGGUGGACUCUGGGCCACAUAAGGCACAGAGCCACCGUAAGGACUCCUAUCCUGAGUGAUCGAGGAGUCACUGUGGUGUUGUGAACAAGCCUGGCUUGUUGGGGACAGUCUAGAAAAUGGGCUGCGGCUGGUCAGUGGAGAAGCCGGAGGACCAGGCAGCAGGUGAAACCUAAGUCAAGGUCAGGGAGGCUGCGGCCUGAAGCAGCGUGGUGGGGAUGCGCUGUAUUUUGGGGUUCUGGUAUAUUUUAAAGGAAGUGUCAAUUGCAUCUGCUGCUGGAUUGGAUGUGGAAGGGAGAGGAAGGGAAGACUCAAGGUGGACUCCAAGGUUUCCAUGAGCAACUGGUGGAACCGAGCCAGUCGGUGCAUGGAAGUGUGUCUUUCCCGAGCCCCUUUCCCAGGCUCCUGCUCUGCUUCCCACAGCUGAUCUGAGCAAGGACAUCAAAGGUGGAGAUUCCAAGGGGUCAGGAGCUCCUCAGCACGAUGUGGCCAGGCAGCUCCUCAGGCCCCUGGUACAUUGAGGAGCCACAGAAUAAACUCUAUAUGGCAGUUUACAGAGUUGUUGGGUGCAUUGGGGACCUUGUAGGACCCUGGUGGUACUAGUGGCUUUGGGUUCCUCUGAAGUUGGGCUGGAGCAGGACUCUGUCCCUCCCAAACUGCUUUGCCUA
This is a long non-coding RNA of Marmota flaviventris (yellow-bellied marmot), 1061 nucleotides long. RefSeq lists it as uncharacterized. The record is from RefSeq and is a predicted model, not a curated record. NCBI's taxonomy places the organism in Eukaryota, Metazoa, Chordata, Mammalia, Rodentia, Sciuridae.